AAAUUGGAAAUUUCGUACCUUGCUCUUCUCGGACCAGGACUCCUGUUACCCCUAUCUCCGAUAAUACCAAUUACUGGGAUAUUUCUUUGUCUGUUUCAGUGUGCGAAGCAGUAGUGGGCUCAAUAAAUACUGGUUGAGUUCUUCCAAGGCCCGUUGGCACUCUGGGGUCCAUGAUAAGUUAUUCUUCUUCUUUUUCAGUAGUGAUAAGAAUUCGGUGGCUCUUAUCAAAGAACCUCGAGAUGAAUCGCCCUAGGGAGUCUAUGCAUCUGGUUAAACUUUGCACGACCUUCGCGUUGUCCACAACCAUGAUAUCCCGAUGGCUUUGAUCUUGUCGGGGUUGAUAUCGAUUCCCCGGUUAAAUACCAUGAUUCCGAGGAAUUUAACUUAUCCGACUCCAAAUGCACAUUUCUCUAGGUUUAGCUUCAUAUUGUACUUCUUUGAUGUGUUGAAAUUUCCUAUAAAUAUUUUAAAUGGUCCUCUGC
Molecule: long non-coding RNA, 482 nt
Filed under: Nicotiana benthamiana
Lineage: Eukaryota; Viridiplantae; Streptophyta; Magnoliopsida; Solanales; Solanaceae
Description: long non-coding RNA (NBEN_LNC036770)
Source: RNAcentral